Molecule: long non-coding RNA, 1209 nt
Filed under: Marmota monax (woodchuck)
Lineage: Eukaryota; Metazoa; Chordata; Mammalia; Rodentia; Sciuridae
Source: RNAcentral
GACGCUUGGCCCGAUGGAGUGGCUUUCCCAGGACAAGAAAACUCACUCGAUAUUAUCAACUUUCCGUGUGGACCCCUCUGUCGGAGCAGUUCUGUAAGUGAGAAGCGAUGGCGCCACUGGGCAUUUUACCUGCUUCUCCCCAGGCUCCUCUCCACGCACAGGCCCAGGUGAUCUGCAGGUGCCCUACAGCCACGCUGCUCUCUGUGUGAAGUCUCCAGCCUUCCUGUUGCUCAGCCUUCCAGCUCAACCCUGCCUCUGGACCUGUGUGGCUACGAUCUCCUGUCCUUAGAAAUUCGGGUCUCAGCUCCCAGGUCACCUCCUCAGAUGCCCUCGCUGACCACUAGGGCCCGACUCUCUCCCUGGGCUUCAGAUCCGCCUGCUUCAUUUGGCUCACGGCACUUACCAUUUCAUGAGUCAUAUGCAGUCUGCCUGCUGCGUGAGAUCAGGCACACGUCACUUGAGUUCACCUCUAUGGCCGAGUGCCUAGAACAGGGCCUCAUACAAAAAGAAAGGCUCAAGAGGCCCUAGGUAAAUGAGUGAAUGAAGGCUCAACCAGCCAACUAACCAGCCAGCCAAAAUUAAGACUGAAAAUGAACAGUCUUCUGCUUUUGUAUUCAGGUGGCUAUUUUAAAUUUUUUCCUGAAAACUACGUGGAAGAAAUGGUUGUUUACUCUGAGCAGUGAUCUGUGCAGUGAUUAGGUAACUUUGAUAUCUGUGCUAUUUUACUUCAUAAGGCCAAAGUCUAUUGCCAUGCAUUUCUAAAUACCAUAAUAAUGUUUCUUUUUAAUAUAUGGACUUGCUUCCACUGACUCCAGCGCUGUGGCAUCGUCUGUAUUAACAAGCAAAGCCACGGGGCCCGGGUUUACAAUGUAAGUUAGGGUUGGAGCAAUCCUGUCUUCAGAAUAACAGUAUGAGGUUCCUUGCUUAAUACACAGGGGGGAAUCCAUCAGAAGGGGGUGAUGCUGCAGUGUCUUGGUACCAGGAUUCCAAGGGCUUUCCAGGUAUGUUCAGUAUGUAAUUCACAGCAGACUUGUGUCUGUCUUACGCCGACCCCAUUGCAGCUGCUAGGGAUCCCAGAUGGAGGAGACACUAUUGCUCAGCGACUAGGAAGAGCUGGUAGUGGUUCCAGAACCCACCUGCUCAUUGGCAUCUCAUGGCAUCCACCUCUGUCUAGGCCCUGUCCCAGGCCAUUGGAAUCAGAAUCUCGGA